Molecule: long non-coding RNA, 519 nt
Organism: Acanthochromis polyacanthus (spiny chromis)
Lineage: Eukaryota; Metazoa; Chordata; Actinopteri; Pomacentridae
Exons: 4
Source: RefSeq, a predicted model, not a curated record
UCGGCGUACGCAAACUUUUAGUAUGGAUCCUACGCAGUGUUUUAUAAAUGAGGCCCCAGGUUACUGGUUCUAAAGAGGUCUACUGGUUCGAUAGAGAUCUGGUUACUGGUUCUAUAGAGGUCUACUGGUUCGAUAGAGGUCUGGUUACUGGUUCUAUAGAGGUCUACUGGUUCGAUAGAGGUCUGGUUACUGGUUCUAUAGAGGUCUACUGGUUCGAUAGAGAUCUGGUUACUGGUUCUAUAGAGGUCUACUGGUUCUAUAGAGGUCUACUGGUUCGAUAGAGAUCUGGUUACUGGUUCUAUAGAGGUCUACUGGUUCUAUAGAGGUCUACUGGUUCGAUAGAGGUCUGGUUACUGGUUCUAUAGAGGUCUGGUUACUGGUUCUAUAGAGGUCUACUGGUUCGAUAGAGAUCUACUGGUUCAAUAGAGAUCUGGUUACUGGUUCUGGACUCACCAGAGACCUUCAGAGUGACCUUCCUCUUGAACUGGGCUCCGAGGACCUCACACUCGUAGGGCCCCU